This is a non-coding RNA of Acanthosepion pharaonis, 111 nucleotides long. NCBI's taxonomy places the organism in Eukaryota, Metazoa, Mollusca, Cephalopoda, Sepiida, Sepiidae. The record is from the annotation of a GenBank genome assembly.
UGGCCACAUCAUGUUGAAACACCGUUUCCUGUACAAUCAACAAAGUUAAGCAAUGUUGAGCCAGAUCCAUACCUAGAUGGGUGACCGCUUGGGAAUACCAGGUGCUGUAAG